GAUGAACGCUAGCGGCAGGCUUAACACAUGCAAGUCGAGGGGUAGAGGAAGCUUGCUUCCUUGAGACCGGCGCACGGGUGCGUAACGCGUAUACAAUCUACCUUUUACAGAGGGAUAGCCCCAGAGAAAAUUUGGAUUAAUACCUCAUAGUAUUUUCGGAUCGCAUGAUUUGAUUAUUAAAGUUCCAACGGUAAAGAUGAGUAUGCGUCCCAUUAGCUAGAUGGUAAGGUAACGGCUUACCAUGGCAAUGAUGGGUAGGGGUCCUGAGAGGGAGAUCCCCCACACUGGUACUGAGACACGGACCAGACUCCUACGGGAGGCAGCAGUGAGGAAUAUUGGGACAAUGGGCGCAAGCCUGAUCCAGCCCAUGCCGCGUGCAGGAAUAAGGUCCUAUGGAUUAGUAAAUGCUUUAUACAGGAAGAAACACACCCUCGUGAGGGUACUUGACGGUACU
This 454-nucleotide ribosomal RNA is filed under the name uncultured bacterium. Its description in RNAcentral is "bacterial SSU rRNA". It matches the Rfam family "Bacterial small subunit ribosomal RNA", at positions 28 to 479 of the family's 1533-position model. The record is from RNAcentral.